RNAcentral lists this unclassified non-coding RNA (712 nucleotides) under Hevea brasiliensis (rubber tree). Lineage: Eukaryota; Viridiplantae; Streptophyta; Magnoliopsida; Malpighiales; Euphorbiaceae. The record is from RNAcentral.
GGAGACCAGAUGAAGAGAAUAGAUGAAGAGAUCGGAAAUGUAACAGGAGAUCAGACGUGAAGGCGGAAGAUACAAAGAUAGGAUUGGUUAAAGAUCGACAAAUUGGAUAGAUCGGGAGGUUGGAAAAUCAACGAGAGUUACUUCAGCCCAUGACCCCCGAUCUACGUAGUCAGCUUUCUCUGCCAUCGUAUUUGAGUUUGUUAAAGCAUUUCGGGUACGAUCUGAUCUCCACCAUCCACUUCAUUUCAAAAUAAGGGUUCGAACCGUCGUAUCUGAGGCAGUUAAAGCAUUUUGGUACGCCCAAAUCUACACCUUUGAUUUCACCUGUAAGGGUAGACUUUGGACCGUGGAAUCAAAGUAAAUAACAAAUUCAGCACCUUUUAUUCCCAGCCCUUGGAUCCAUUCUGUGUUAGAUUUGAGAAAAAGGGACAAAAGAGUCCCGACUUAGAUCUCAACCUUCAGUUCUUGGUCUCUUUAAUUUCUGACCCUUAGAUUCAGUCCUUCUAGAUCCACACCCUUCAAUCUCGCCAUCUGAAAUCCCAGUCGUUCAUUUGGAGACCCCUGUUCCCAUAAAUACCUGAAUGCUUCACUGUAUAAAGGGGUCUUUGGUUAGAAUUUUGAGAUACCGGGUAUUAGUCCUUCAUUUUUUAUCUUGAAAUCUCGAUCUUUGUAGUUUCUCUUGGCACUUUGAUCUUUUGUCUCAAGUUUUACU